Molecule: ribosomal RNA, 661 nt
Filed under: uncultured Bacilli bacterium
Lineage: Bacteria; Bacillati; Bacillota; Bacilli
Description: bacterial SSU rRNA
Rfam family: Bacterial small subunit ribosomal RNA
Source: RNAcentral
CUUGCUUCUCUGGAUGAGUUGCGAACGGGUGAGUAACGCGUAGGUAACCUGCCUGGUAGCGGGGGAUAACUAUUGGAAACGAUAGCUAAUACCGCAUAAGAGUAGAUGUUGCAUGACAUUUGCUUAAAAGGUGCAAUUGCAUCACUACCAGAUGGACCUGCGUUGUAUUAGCUAGUUGGUGGGGUAACGGCUCACCAAGGCGACGAUACAUAGCCGACCUGAGAGGGUGAUCGGCCACACUGGGACUGAGACACGGCCCAGACUCCUACGGGAGGCAGCAGUAGGGAAUCUUCGGCAAUGGACGGAAGUCUGACCGAGCAACGCCGCGUGAGUGAAGAAGGUUUUCGGAUCGUAAAGCUCUGUUGUAAGAGAAGAACGAGUGUGAGAGUGGAAAGUUCACACUGUGACGGUAUCUUACCAGAAAGGGACGGCUAACUACGUGCCAGCAGCCGCGGUAAUACGUAGGUCCCGAGCGUUGUCCGGAUUUAUUGGGCGUAAAGCGAGCGCAGGCGGUUAGAUAAGUCUGAAGUUAAAGGCUGUGGCUUAACCAUAGUACGCUUUGGAAACUGUUUAACUUGAGUGCAAGAGGGGAGAGUGGAAUUCCAUGUGUAGCGGUGAAAUGCGUAGAUAUAUGGAGGAACACCGGUGGCGAAAGCGGCUC